This 613-nucleotide ribosomal RNA is filed under the name uncultured bacterium. RNAcentral describes it as "bacterial SSU rRNA". The stretch from base 1 to 542 matches the Rfam family "Bacterial small subunit ribosomal RNA", at positions 338 to 873 of the family's 1533-position model. The record is from RNAcentral.
CCUACGGGAGGCAGCAGUGGGGAAUCUUGCGCAAUGGGCGGAAGCCUGACGCAGCAACGCCGCGUGCGGGAAGAAGGCCUUAGGGUCGUAAACCGCUUUCAGGGGGGACGAAGCUUCCGGGGUUAAUAGCCUACGGGGUGACGGUACUCCCAAAAGAAGGUCCGGCUAACUACGUGCCAGCAGCCGCGGUAAUACGUAGGGACCGAGCGUUGUCCGGAAUCAUUGGGCGUAAAGAGCGUGUAGGCGGCCUAGUAGGUCUCGUGUGAAAUCCCGUGGCUCAACCACGGACACGCACGGAAAACCCCUAGGCUCGAGUCCGGAAGAGGAGAGCGGAAUUCCUGGUGUAGCGGUGAAAUGCGCAGAUAUCAGGAAGAACACCCGUAGCGAAGGCGGCUCUCUGGGACGGUACUGACGCUGAGACGCGAAAGCGUGGGGAGCAAACAGGAUUAGAUACCCUGGUAGUCCACGCCGUAAACGAUGGAUGCUAGGUGUGGGAGGUGUCGACUCCUCCCGUGCCGAAGCUAACGCAUUAAGCANCCGCGNGGNGUACGCGCGAGACGAACGACGAAGAAGUAGUAACGGCGUGAGAGUGCGAGACGACGACGAGGAGAGG